Molecule: long non-coding RNA, 2424 nt
Filed under: Gallus gallus (chicken)
Lineage: Eukaryota; Metazoa; Chordata; Aves; Galliformes; Phasianidae
Source: RNAcentral
CACUAACACCCUGAAGGACUAUAACAGUGCUUUUUCCUACUUGAUAGAGUAAAUAUGCAGCAUGUGGACAACAACUUUUUAGACAGAGAAGCUGAUUUUACUUCUUUGUGCCACCUACAGCAGCAACUUGAGCACUGUAAGUACAGUUACAUGUAGUUGGACAGCAGCAACAGUACUUGAUUGCAACACGGAGAGCAGAUUGCUGGUCCUGGUUCAGAAAAAGCAGCAGGGAGAAAGAAGAUGCAGUAUAGACAUGAAAGCUAUUUGGUAAUUUGCUGGGGCCACAUAACACUUUUUCAAAGGUCAAAAUUUGUCUCUGGAGGUGGAACAGCAGCUCCAGAGGUGCUCUGCAGAGGUGGGGCAGGAAGCAGGUGUUCCUGUGCUGAGAUGGGGCUGAGCCCAGUGCCACAAACAUGCUGGGCACUGCACUGUGCAAGAGGGGUUGACUACUGAGAUGCUUACAAACCAACUCUCCAUCUGCCUCCAAAGAACCAUUUGACACUCCAAGCCAUAACAUUUCUUGCUCAGGCUUUUUAUUUUUCUCCUGUGAGUCUCAGGAAGGCUUUGCCAAAUGUUUUGAACUCACAUUCCAAGCUCCUUCAUUAGGACAUCCAGGCUUGUCAAAAAAACAAUUAGUCUUUAGUACAGGAUGAAGCUGGAAUUACAUUCUGAAGUUCUAUUCCAAUAGCUACAAGCCAAAUAAGAGCCAAAUACACUCUUCAAACAGUGGCAGGAAGUUAGUGGAGGUUGAAGCAAGUGUUCUGAUGACACCCACGAUACCGGAUGCUUUCCUCUGUUCUUUUCCUGCUCUUAAAGGUAAACUCCAGAUAAUGGUUGAUUUUAUUUUCUCUGAGCUGUUAAUGCCAGAGACAGUAAUAGCACCUUUAGCUGGCUGUGCAGUGACCAACCUGGAUUGCUGUGGCUAUUUUCUUGAUAAGACAGUUUGAUAAAGUGGCUAAGGAUGUUAUUUUUAGUUGUCUGCUUUUCAUCAGCUUAACAGAGUUUGAUUUUGCAUGCUUCAAAGCAAGUCUUUAAGAACUGCUCAAAUAACCAACUGCUCCACUUGGUGUCCGCAUCCCAUGAAGAGGAAGAACACACUGUGUACCUAUAGGAGCAGUAUGAACGUGUCACUGUAGCAUUAAGGACGCUGGGAAGGGACUUCGCAUCACUUUCCAAGUAAAUUUUAAUCUCUCAUACUCCUUAUACGUAACUUUAAAGUGAAAGGCAGACUGGCAUUGAACUACAAAUUCACUCUAAGGGAGAAAGAAAAAUAAUUAAAAAAAAAAAUAGUUCCUUAUUACAACUAAUAUGGACUAAUUCUUACCGUACAGUUUGUGGAAGAGUAAAAGGCCAAUUAGCUGCUGUGCUGAAAGAGCAAUAAGAAAAACGUGGCUGUUACAUCAGCCUGACAGUACUUAAAAACAGCACCUGUAGGGACACGAGAGCUCCCUUGCUACUGCACUCAGUACCAGGGCAGCAGUGCGCUGUCUGCUGCUCCUGCAGAGAGAACAACUACAGCUUCUGUGGGCCACACUUACAGGACACGGAUGCUGAGGUGCCUCUGUCACUGAAAGCACUGUAGCAGAAAGCCCGGAGACGCUGCUGGACGCAUCUUUUCUCACUGCCUAUCUUUAAGUUCCCAGUUUAAGCAAAUGAGGUUACUAUAUAAUCAUUGGUUCACAACCAGCCUCGGCGGCCUGGUUUUAUUUUUCAGCAACAGCAAAUAAGAAUGGACAAAUUAUUGCUUUUACUGUGUUAAAUUAGCCAGACUCAAUUAACGACUUUUACCUUGUAUAAAGAUGUAAGAAGCUACAUGUUAGGUUUGCAAAACGGAUUAUGCUACAUACUGGUGCAGCAAGUUCUCAUUCUUUUAACAUCUAAUUCAAAGUCUGCCAAGCCUGGAGCAUUUGUGUCCUCAGAGGUAACCUCCUGGGACUCCAGGAGCCCGGCAUGUCAUACAGCCCACACAGCACGACAUGAAUGUCUGUUGGCAAGAACGGAGAAGAAAUUCCUGAGUCUGUAUUAAAAACCAUCUUUGACUCUUUUCUCCCUCAAGAAUCCGAUUCCUCCUCCUCUUCCGCCUCCUCUUCAUGAUCUCGAAUGCUCAGCUGUAAUUCGGUCUGAUUGAUAGCAGCCUCGUUGUCCAUCUGCCCGAGGAUCUGCUGGGGGUCCUCCGCGCCCGGGGCGGCGGCCACGUCCUCCUCGCGGGAGCGGAUCAUGGACUGCAGCGCGAGCUCCUCCACCUUGAGCCGGGUGAGCUGCUCGUGCAGCGCCGCCUUCACCCGCAGCAGCGUCUCCUCCUCCUUGCGCAGCUCCUGCAGGCGGCUCAGCAUCCUGCCCGCCGCCCCGGCCCGGCCCCCCCUGCGGGCCGCCCCUCCUCUCCGCUCCCGAGAAGCGCGGCGGCCGCGCCCACGUAACCCCGCG